RNAcentral lists this unclassified non-coding RNA (220 nucleotides) under Hevea brasiliensis (rubber tree). Lineage: Eukaryota; Viridiplantae; Streptophyta; Magnoliopsida; Malpighiales; Euphorbiaceae. The record is from RNAcentral.
GUUCCUGAGUUACCUAUCGGAAGCGGUGGUUCUAUUUUGCAAGGAUAGAGUUGUGAUCCUCUUAUUGUGGCUUAUCUUGCUUUGGCGAGUUGAGGCAUUGGCAGAAGAUCUUUCUAGCUUUCGAUGGGUUCUCCAGUCAAGCUUUCGACGACAGCGCGNUCUCCAAUUAAGCUUCCAACAAUAGUGCAUGACAUUGAUCCUGAGUUCUGCUUGGGUGGCU